UCUGCUGUGAAAGCCCCGGGGCUCAACCCCCGGGGUCUGCAGUGGGUACGGGCAGACUAGAGUGCAGUAGGGGAGACUGGAAUUCCUGGUGUAGCGGUGAAAUGCGCAGAUAUCAGGAGGAACACCGAUGGCGAAGGCAGGUCUCUGGGCUGUAACUGACGCUGAGGAGCGAAAGCAUGGGGAGCGAACAGGAUUAGAUACCCUGGUAGUCCAUGCCGUAAACGUUGGGCACUAGGUGUGGGGGACAUUCCACGUUUUCCGCGCCGUAGCUAACGCAUUAAGUGCCCCGCCUGGGGAGUACGGCCGCAAGGCUAAAACUCAAAGGAAUUGACGGGGGCCCGCACAAGCACAAGCGGCGGAGCAUGCGGAUUAAUUCGAUGCAACGCGAAGAACCUUACCAAGGCUUGACAUGAACCGGUAAGACCUGGAAACAGGUCCCCCACUUGUGGCCGGUUUACAGGUGGUGCAUGGUUGUCGUCAGCUCGUGUCGUGAGAUGUUGGGUUAAGUCCCGCAACGAGCGCAACCCUCGUUCUAUGUUGCCAGCGGGUUAUGCCGGGGACUCAUAGGAGACUGCCGGGGUCAACUCGGAGGAAGGUGGGGACGACGUCAAAUCAUCAUGCCCCUUAUGUCUUGGGCUUCACGCAUGCUACAAUGGCCGGUACAAAGGGUUGCGAUACUGUGAGGUGGAGCUAAUCCCAAAAAGCCGGUCUCAGUUCGGAUUGAGGUCUGCAACUCGACCUCAUGAAGUUGGAGUCGCUAGUAAUCGCAGAUCAGCAACGCUGCGGUGAAUACGUUCCCGGGCCUUGUACACACCGCCCGUCAAGUCACGAAAGUUGGUAACACCCGAAGCCGGUGGCCUAACCCCUUGUGGGAGGGAGCCGUC
RNAcentral lists this ribosomal RNA (884 nucleotides) under Arthrobacter agilis. Its description in RNAcentral is "bacterial SSU rRNA". It matches the Rfam family "Bacterial small subunit ribosomal RNA", at positions 588 to 1457 of the family's 1533-position model. The record is from RNAcentral. Lineage: Bacteria; Bacillati; Actinomycetota; Actinomycetes; Micrococcales; Micrococcaceae.